ACCCUUAGAUGUUCUGGGCUGCACGCGUGUUACAAUCGGGAGUACAACAAGAUUGCAAAUCCUAGUGGAUGAGUGGUUCUUCGAAAUUUUCUGAAGACUGGGAUAGUUGAUUGAAAUUAUUCAACUCAAACGAGGAAUUCCUUGUAAUUGUAAUUCAUUAUAUUGUAAUGAAUACGUCCCUGCCCUUUGUACACACCCACCGCCCGUCGCUCCUACCGAUUGAACGAUCCGGUGAAUUAUUUGGAGUAGCUCUGGAAGUUGCAGAACUUCCUAUGUCACGAAAUUUUGUAAACCUUAUCGUUUAGAGGAAGGAAAAGUCGUAACA
This 325-nucleotide ribosomal RNA is filed under the name uncultured eukaryote. RNAcentral describes it as "partial 18S ribosomal RNA". It matches the Rfam family "Eukaryotic small subunit ribosomal RNA", at positions 1469 to 1796 of the family's 1831-position model. The record is from RNAcentral.